UAAUACAGAGACCUCAAGCGUUAUCCGGAAUCAUUGGGCGUAAAGCGUACCGAUCGGUUGUUUUACAAGUCAGAAGUGAAAUCUCAAGGCUCAACCUUGAGACUGUCUUUUGAAACUGUAAAACUAGAAGGGCAAAGAGGAAGCUGGAACAAACGGUGUAGUAGUGAAAUGCGUUGAUAUCGUUUGGAACACCAAUAGCGAAGGCAGGCUUCUGGGUGCCUCUUGACACUGCUAGGACGAAAGCGUGGGGAGCGAAUGGGAUUAGAUACCCCAGUAGUCCACGCUGUAAACGAUGCAUAUUAGGUGCUAGAGAGUAUCGACCCUCUUUAGUACCAAAGCUAACGCGUUAAAUAUGCCGCCUGGGGAGUACGGCCGCAAGGCUA
This 383-nucleotide ribosomal RNA is filed under the name uncultured bacterium. RNAcentral's name for it is "bacterial SSU rRNA". It matches the Rfam family "Bacterial small subunit ribosomal RNA", at positions 521 to 896 of the family's 1533-position model. The record is from RNAcentral.